CACACCGCCCGUCGCUCCUACCGAUUGAAAAUUCAGGUGAAAUAUCGGGAUUUUGGCGCUUGGGCGCAAGUCCUUGCGUCGAGAGAACUUUCUUGAAUCUUAAUUUUUAGAGGAAGGAGAAGUCGUAACAAGGUUUCCGUAGGUGAACCUGCGGAAGGAUCAUUA
Molecule: ribosomal RNA, 165 nt
Filed under: Nutomonas limna
Lineage: Eukaryota; Ancyromonadida; Planomonadidae
Also listed under: 1 other name
Description: Ancyromonas limna partial 18S ribosomal RNA
Rfam family: Eukaryotic small subunit ribosomal RNA
Source: RNAcentral